GAUGAACGCUGGCGGCGUGCCUAAUACAUGCAAGUCGAGCGAACAGAUAAGGAGCUUGCUCCUUUGACGUUAGCGGCGGACGGGUGAGUAACACGUGGGUAACCUACCUAUAAGACUGGAAUAACUCCGGGAAACCGGGGCUAAUGCCGGAUAACAUUUAGAACCGCAUGGUUCUAAAGUGAAAGAUGGUUUUGCUAUCACUUAUAGAUGGACCCGCGCCGUAUUAGCUAGUUGGUAAGGUAACGGCUUACCAAGGCAACGAUACGUAGCCGACCUGAGAGGGUGAUCGGCCACACUGGAACUGAGACACGGUCCAGACUCCUACGGGAGGCAGCAGUAGGGAAUCUUCCGCAAUGGGCGAAAGCCUGACGGAGCAACGCCGCGUGAUUGAUGAAGGUCUUCGGAUCGUAAAACUCUGUUAUUAGGGAAGAACAAAUGUGUAAGUAACUGUGCACGUCUUGACGGUACCUAAUCAGAAAGCCACGGCUAACUACGUG
RNAcentral lists this ribosomal RNA (497 nucleotides) under uncultured bacterium. Its description in RNAcentral is "partial 16S ribosomal RNA". It matches the Rfam family "Bacterial small subunit ribosomal RNA", at positions 28 to 507 of the family's 1533-position model. The record is from RNAcentral.